ACUUAUAUUCUGUAGCAAGGUUAACCGUAUAGGGGAGCCGGAGGGAAACCGAGUCUUAAUUGGGCGUUAAGUUGCAGGGUAUAGACCCGAAACCCGGUGAUCUAGCCAUGGGCAGGUUGAAGGUUGGGUAACACUAACUGGAGGACCGAACCGACUAAUGUUGAAAAAUUAGCGGAUGACCUGUGGCUGGGGGUGAAAGGCCAAUCAAACCGGGAGAUAGCUGGUUCUCCCCGAAAGCUAUUUAGGUAGCGCCUCGUGAAUUCAUCUCCGGGGGUAGAGCACUGUUUCGGCUAGGGGGCCAUCCCGGCUUACCAACCCGAUGCAAACUGCGAAUACCGGAGAAUGUUAUCACGGGAGACACACGGCGGGUGCUAACGUCCGUCGUGAAGAGGGAAACAACCCAGACCGCCAGCUAAGGUCCCAAAGUCAUGGUUAAGUGGGAAACGAUGUGGGAAGGCCCAGACAGCCAGGAUGUUGGCUUAGAAGCAGCCAUCAUUUAAAGAAAGCGUAAUAGCUCACUGGUCGAGUCGGCCUGCGCGGAAGAUGUAACGGGGCUAAACCAUGCACCGAAGCUGCGGCAGCGAACGUAUCACUUAAAGCGAUUCAGCGGGUUACGAUUGACGGAGCGAAGCGACGUCAAAGCGUAUACAAAGUCGAGUCGGUUUAAGGAUACGUU
RNAcentral lists this ribosomal RNA (676 nucleotides) under Salmonella enterica subsp. enterica. RNAcentral's name for it is "partial 23S ribosomal RNA". It matches the Rfam family "Bacterial large subunit ribosomal RNA", at positions 626 to 1289 of the family's 2925-position model. The record is from RNAcentral. Lineage: Bacteria; Pseudomonadati; Pseudomonadota; Gammaproteobacteria; Enterobacterales; Enterobacteriaceae.